Molecule: long non-coding RNA, 543 nt
Organism: Mus pahari (shrew mouse)
Lineage: Eukaryota; Metazoa; Chordata; Mammalia; Rodentia; Muridae
Exons: 3
Source: RefSeq, a predicted model, not a curated record
UGAAGGUUCCUAUUGCCACCAUUAAUCUAUUAGCCUCUAGAUUUUCCAGGAAGGCUCUUGAAAAUAUACUGUAAGCAGUAACACCUUAAUAGACUAUCAGUGCGAGAAAGUGCUGGCUCUUUUGGAACAGAAUGCUAGCGGCAGAGAUAAAAGUUGACACUUGAACCAAGCUUCGAUGUUUAUAGCGAGUGCUUUUAUUUGAAUAUUGCUGUGAGACUCUGAUCCGGAUAUGUGAGUGACAGAGCUGAAAUUCCUCAGUGCUACACAAGGACAUCGCAGGCAGCCUAUGCAUGUGGAUAACUUGGUACUGAUCUCCAGACCCAUCUUGCAAAUCCAAAAGUUAAAGGGCUCAAGAAGAUCCGCUGCUGCGUCAUUUGGUAUUUACACGGUCAGACAAAUUGUGGACGGUUUUUCUCAAUGGAUGGCACCAUGGUUCUUUCAUAUCAACAAUACAUAAAUUGUCCAGUUUCCCUCCAUUUUUGUCAAUUUUUUCUGGUUUUCAUUUACUUUUACUUAGUCAUUCUGAGCUCUGUGGCUACAAUC